RNAcentral lists this long non-coding RNA (263 nucleotides) under Vitis vinifera (wine grape). RNAcentral's name for it is "long non-coding RNA (VVIN_LNC008122)". The record is from RNAcentral. Lineage: Eukaryota; Viridiplantae; Streptophyta; Magnoliopsida; Vitales; Vitaceae.
GAAAAGGAGAAAUUGAAUGAUGGGAGACUAAUGAGCUUAACUUGAACUCUGGUUGAACAAAACAAGAGAUUGUGUAUGAACUUGAUGCUUGUUUCUUUCUUUCCCCUAAGUGAGAUUAUGAUUUUUGAAACAUGUGAUACGCUGGGCGCUAUGGCAGUGUACAUACGAAUUGCUCGGUUAUGACAUUCUGCAUGUUUUAAUAUAUGGGGUUGGUUUUAAAUAAGAGGACACUCGAAUUUGUUAUAAUUUGAGAAACAGUUUGU